This 253-nucleotide ribosomal RNA is filed under the name uncultured bacterium. RNAcentral describes it as "partial 16S ribosomal RNA". It matches the Rfam family "Bacterial small subunit ribosomal RNA", at positions 524 to 776 of the family's 1533-position model. The record is from RNAcentral.
UACGUAGGGACCGAGCGUUGUCCGGAAUCAUUGGGCGUAAAGAGCGUGUAGGCGGCCACUUAAGUCCUGCGUGAAAUCUUGCGGCUCAACCGCAAGCGGUCGUGGGAAACUGGGUGGCUAGAGUGCGGGAGAGGAGAGUGGAAUUCCUGGUGUAGCGGUGGAAUGCGCAGAUAUCAGGAAGAACACCCGUGGCGAAGGCGGCUCUCUGGACAUUUCCUGACGCUGAGGCACGAAAGCUAGGGGAGCAAACAGG